This 911-nucleotide ribosomal RNA is filed under the name Psathyrella spadiceogrisea. RNAcentral's name for it is "eukaryotic LSU rRNA". It matches the Rfam family "Eukaryotic large subunit ribosomal RNA", at positions 52 to 949 of the family's 3401-position model. Lineage: Eukaryota; Fungi; Basidiomycota; Agaricomycetes; Agaricales; Psathyrellaceae. The record is from RNAcentral.
GGAGGAAAAGAAACUAACAAGGAUUCCCCUAGUAACUGCGAGUGAAGCGGGAAAAGCUCAAAUUUAAAAUCUGGUGGUCUUCGGCCAUCCGAGUUGUAAUCUAGAGAAGUGUUACCCGCGUCGGACCGUGUACAAGUCUCCUGGAAUGGAGCGUCAUAGAGGGUGAGAAUCCCGUCUUUGACACGGACUACCGAGGCUUUGUGGUGCGCUCUCAAAGAGUCGAGUUGUUUGGGAAUGCAGCUCAAAAUGGGUGGUAAAUUCCAUCUAAAGCUAAAUAUUGGCGAGAGACCGAUAGCGAACAAGUACCGUGAGGGAAAGAUGAAAAGAACUUUGGAAAGAGAGUUAAACAGUACGUGAAAUUGCUAAAAGGGAAACGCUUGAAGUCAGUCGCGUUGGCCGGAAAUCAGCCUUGCUUUUGCUGGGUGUACUUUCUGGUUGACGGGCCAGCAUCAGUUUUGACCGGUGGAAAAAGUCUAGGGGAAUGUGGCAUCUUCGGAUGUGUUAUAGCCCUUGGUCGUAUACAUCGGUUGGGACUGAGGAACUCAGCACGCCGCAAGGCCGGGUCUUUGACCACGUUCGUGCUUAGGAUGCUGGCAUAAUGGCUUUAAUCGACCCGUCUUGAAACACGGACCAAGGAGUCUAACAUGCCUGCGAGUGUUUGGGUGGAAAACCCGGACGCGUAAUGAAAGUGAAAGUUGAGAUCCCUGUCAUGGGGAGCAUCGACGCCCGGACCAGAAGUUUUCUGACGGCCCUGCGGUAGAGCAUGUAUGUUGGGACCCGAAAGAUGGUGAACUAUGCCUGAAUAGGGUGAAGCCAGAGGAAACUCUGGUGGAGGCUCGUAGCGAUUCUGACGUGCAAAUCGAUCGUCAAAUUUGGGUAUAGGGGCGAAAGACUAAUCGAACCAUCUAGUA